RNAcentral lists this unclassified non-coding RNA (330 nucleotides) under soil metagenome. RNAcentral describes it as "partial contains 5.8S ribosomal RNA, internal transcribed spacer 2, and large subunit ribosomal RNA". The stretch from base 1 to 121 matches the Rfam family "5.8S ribosomal RNA", at positions 35 to 154 of the family's 154-position model. The record is from RNAcentral.
GAUGAAGAACGCAGCAAAAUGCGAUAAGUAAUGCGAAUUGCAGAAUUUCCGUGAGUCAUCGAAUCUUUGAACGCACAUUGCGCCCCUUGGUAUCCCGAGGGGCAUGCCUGUUCGAGCGUCAUUUCACCACUCAAGCCUGGCUUGGUGUUGGGCGACGUCCCCUUUGGGGACGCGCCUUGAAACGCUCGGCGGCGUGGCACCGGCUUUAAGCGUAGCAGAAUCUUUCGCUUUGGAAGUCGGGGCCCCGUCUGCCGGAAGACCUACUCGCAAGGUUGACCUCGGAUCAGGCAGGGAUACCCGCUGAACUUAAGCAUAUCAAUAAGCGGAGGA